CAUCGCAAUCUGCUUCCGUCUUGGCCCGUUUGUUCUACCUGUGGUUGGGCUUCGCCUCCGUACGCGUCGUCGGUGCCGCCUCAACGUUUUGCCCUCCCGCUGUUGGCCCAUGUAGGAACCGCCCCUUCCGUCGAUGCUGCGUCGGCGUCUCGCCGGCCGCCUUUCCUCGGGUUGGCUGUUCCUCUUCGUCUUCCUUGUGCUCCUCGAUUCUGGAUUCGCUGUGUUGCUAGGCUGCACACCUCAGCGGCUGCACGGAUCAAUUUGCCGAGACUGAAUUUAAGGGAGGCACCUAGCGUCUCCUUCGAGCCUGAUCCGUGACAUGUGUCCUAAACCAAAUGAGCUAUCUCCAUGGACAUGCAAUUUUCGAUCUGGUGAAGCCGUAGCAGUAUGGGAAACAAAUCCUACCUGAGAUGCACACACCACACUAGGUUUCAGCCCUUAAUCGCCUUGGUGUUUUAGCCCCAUAUUUUUCUUAACAAUUGUUGCCUUCUGAUGUCCUCAUUGCGGUGUUAAGUGAGAACCUGCUGUCGUUCCUUUUGGGUUAUUUUUCUACGCAAAUUUGGAACAAGAGGCACUGCAUGUCCUUACACAUGGAGUAGAUAUGACAUUGUGGACAACAGAUAACACAAACUUUCAACCCUUGGUUUGAUGCUUUAUUAUUCGGUGCAUCACCGUAACAGAGCAGUUGCUGAGCUAAUAGAAAGAUGGUUUUACUUUCUCCCUGAGACCCUGUGGACACUAGCGAAUCAAUAUCCACUAGGAUAGUCAUACAAAUUUGACAGAGUAACUGUACCUUCAAUAUAUUUUCCUUUCUUUCUUGACGAUGCUCCCUUUUAAUUUAUAUAUUGUCCUUCGAAUUUCCAUUUCAAAUUGUCACAGGAUGGUUUUCUGGAUAUUGCAUACCAAAUUAUUGUGUUAUUUGUUUUUCCAGGGGAAACUAAUCAUUCCUACAAUGGUGUUUGCCUGGUGCAUGGAGUUAAACAGCAUGUAGAUGGACCCAAGGGAUCAGGCAACGACCCCGUGCAUAUCAAAGCCAUUUGUAUUUUAUUUCCUAAGAAUAAUUCAGUUGCAUACUAGUUCCUUAA
Molecule: long non-coding RNA, 1085 nt
Organism: Panicum hallii
Lineage: Eukaryota; Viridiplantae; Streptophyta; Magnoliopsida; Poales; Poaceae
Exons: 5
Source: RefSeq, a predicted model, not a curated record